UUAACAACUUCGAAUUUUAUAAAACAAAUUAAUAACCAAAAUCGCUGUUGUUAGUUACCAAAAAAUAAUCAAGAUGGGAUUUUUGAGUAAAUGUCACUAAACUAUACAAAUUGCUAUUUUCUAUCACACAAUGGAUGUCUUUCUUUUAUGCAGAAGUGUCCCGUUUUUCGAUUUGCAUGGAAGUGCAUUGUGUCGAAAUACUAUCACAGAGCUGUCAAGGAAGAUUCUGAAUGUAAACAAGAAACUCCCCAUCUGGAGGCCGAAGCUUCGAAGCAGUGCUUCACUUAUAGUGCGGAGUUAGCUCCUCCUCCCUUUCUUACCUCCAUGGUGCCGGUUGACAUAUAAAAUUACGAAGAAUGCGACGAAUGAUCACCCUUCCUUGAAGUAUCCGUUUCACAACUAGAUGUUUGACGUUUUUUAAACAUGCCACCCGCAAACGAGGUAAUGAUUAAAAGAGACAGACUGGGGGCAUUAGUAUAUUGACGCUAGAGGUGAAAUUCUUGGAUCGUCGCAAGACGAACUACUACGAAAACAUCUGCCAAGAAUGUUUCCAUUAGUCAAGAAGGAAAGUUAGAGGUUCGAAGGCGAUCAGAUGGAUAGGACUUGCCCAAGCAGCUUGCUCCUGCUUUGUUGUAUGGGAUGUAAAACUCCUCUGACCUAAGGUCUCGUAUCCCCUUGGCCGAGGAGCGCAGCACUUAAGAUUUUCGUCGAGGACGGGAGAGACGAUGCUAAAAAAAGGUUGUUGCAUGACCGCCCUAGUUCUCGGCGAUCUGGCUGUGUUCCUCAAAUGACACGCCGGGCAGCUUCCAGGAAAUCUAAGCUUUUAGGUU
Molecule: ribosomal RNA, 830 nt
Filed under: Stegodyphus mimosarum
Lineage: Eukaryota; Metazoa; Arthropoda; Arachnida; Araneae; Eresidae
Description: eukaryotic small subunit ribosomal RNA
Rfam family: Eukaryotic small subunit ribosomal RNA
Source: RNAcentral